RNAcentral lists this ribosomal RNA (422 nucleotides) under Shigella sonnei. Its description in RNAcentral is "bacterial SSU rRNA". It matches the Rfam family "Bacterial small subunit ribosomal RNA", at positions 1 to 419 of the family's 1533-position model. The record is from RNAcentral. Lineage: Bacteria; Pseudomonadati; Pseudomonadota; Gammaproteobacteria; Enterobacterales; Enterobacteriaceae.
AAAUUGAAGAGUUUGAUCAUGGCUCAGAUUGAACGCUGGCGGCAGGCCUAACACAUGCAAGUCGAACGGUAACAGGAAGCAGCUUGCUGCUUCGCUGACGAGUGGCGGACGGGUGAGUAAUGUCUGGGAAACUGCCUGAUGGAGGGGGAUAACUACUGGAAACGGUAGCUAAUACCGCAUAACGUCGCAAGACCAAAGAGGGGGACCUUCGGGCCUCUUGCCAUCGGAUGUGCCCAGAUGGGAUUAGCUUGUUGGUGGGGUAACGGCUCACCAAGGCGACGAUCCCUAGCUGGUCUGAGAGGAUGACCAGCCACACUGGAACUGAGACACGGUCCAGACUCCUACGGGAGGCAGCAGUGGGGAAUAUUGCACAAUGGGCGCAAGCCUGAUGCAGCCAUGCCGCGUGUAUGAAGAAGGCCUUC